UCUUCCCGUGGACGUAGCCAAUUUAUUGGUGAACCACGUAAAUCUGUUGUCUUGUUUUUCUCGUUUAUAUAUUUUCUCGUAUUAUCUCAAAUUCCGCACAACAACUUCAAUUGAUAGUUGUACAGAAAGUAAUAUGUAUUGUACUGUAAGUUGACAAUCUGCUUAACACGUGUAUUGCUCUCAAUAUGCACGGGCAACUCUUGCCUAGUCUUUUAUAGAAGCCAACUAGCAGUGUACGAACACUUCAAUUGAUAGUUGUACAGAAAGUAAUAUGUAUUGUACUGUAAGUUGACAAUCUGCUUAACACGUGUAUUGCUCUCAAUAUGCAGCUCUGUGUUUUUCUUUUUAGAGGUUACACGUUUUUCCUUUGGAAUACUUGCUUUCUUUUUACUUCAAAUUUCACUUCUUCUUCCCUAUGUUCUUCACACAUUGAUUCUUUCUAUUUAUCUUUGUUUCUUUCAUUCAUCACUUUUAAUUUUCAAUUUUGCAUCUCACUUUUCUUUUGUUUCAGAAUAAUUUGUAUGGUAUUUUUGAAUUUUCAGUCGGCCGUUCGUGCUUGUCUCUAGAUUAUGACCAAAAAGGUAAGUGAUGUCUCAGGUGAUUGUAAAGAAGGAGAAUGAGCAUAUGAUCAAAGUUCAAAGCUCUAAAAGAAGAAUAUGUAUAGUGACAGAGAAAAUUUUGAGUGUCUGCCAAGUACUAUUCAAUAGCACUACUAGAGGAAAAGAGGAGAUCGCUUCAAUGCUCUCCUGAAUGAAUGAGGCUACGUACAUAAACAAAGGUUCCAUGCUCUGUCGAUUUCAAUCUGGCUUUUUAUAAAUAUAAAAAAAUGUUUGGCUAUUAUGUAGGAGCUUGCUAGGCUCUCAAUCACUUUAAUCAAAUUUUGGACAUUAUAUAAAUUUUAUUUGAAAAAUGAGGCAGAUCUGCAGAACAAAAGACAAUUCACGAGUGACUUACCAUAACUUCUUAUAGAAAUGCAAAAUGGUGGUGUUGGUGAAUAUCGUGGAAUAUAACUUUGUACACUUAAUGUCAAAUGAUUGAGACACGCAAAAUGGUCACGGUAAAACACUUUUAUAUGUAUCAUGAGUUGGGCACUAUGCUUUUGCGAAACGCUUGGGCUACGAUGGUGCCCCAAUAGGUAAUUGUAAAAGUUGGCAUUGACAAUGUUUACUUGAAGACUCGGGUAAAAUCACUCACGAAGGUCCAUUAUUUAGUGUGCAUAAAUAUGAAUUAAACACUUCAUCAUGAUCUUUGCCUUUGACUGUUUGUGCUCUCUCACUUUUCAAACUGAGAUUCUCCAUUCGGGGCGUCUUUCGUGGCUGUUUUCAUGUCCUUUUAAGGUAUCCAGAAUUAUUAGUAUUACUAUUUAUUUCCCUUUCUGCCCAUUAUUAUUCUAUCUUUGUGUAUGUGACAAUUAAUUUAGUUACUCUACAAUUGGCUGGGGAAUACAACCAAGCGUGGAGCUAGAUGUGGACAAUAGCUACUCCACCAAAAUCAAUUUGGGAGUCGUUUUCAACUCUUUUCACAUUGAGAGAGAGUGUAUUUUGUUUACGAUGGUUAUAAUCUGGUGUAGAAGAUUCAAGCUACGAUCCUUCCAACGCCAGAGUAGCAUUCAAAGUACCCAUGUGGAGGUGGUUUUGUAGUUGUUUACUCAGAGGUUUAAGGUAGUUAGAAUGUAUCUUGACUUGAGCUUCAGUUUAUCCUUCUAAUCAAGUUGCGCUGCACGAGUUUUACUACUGAAAUUAUACGUGUAAUCUCUUUAUUACUGAAAAAUUGCUAUAAUAUUUUUACUAAUGUAAUCUAUAAAUUAUGUUGUAAACAUUAAAGACAGUUGAAGUUGAAGAUGUUGUUGCUGGAAAAGUGUAAA
This is a non-coding RNA of Solanum lycopersicum (tomato), 1864 nucleotides long. NCBI's taxonomy places the organism in Eukaryota, Viridiplantae, Streptophyta, Magnoliopsida, Solanales, Solanaceae. The record is from RefSeq and is a predicted model, not a curated record.